AGCAGGUCUAGCUAGUUGUCUACCAGACUGGCUACUGCUACUGCUACACUCUCCAAUUGCUUCUGGGACAUCUCUCCCUGCCAUUCCUGCAGCUUUGCACUGAAUGAGAGAGGCAAUUAAUAAAGAUAUACAUACAUUUUUUUGGCACGAGUGUCAGAAGAGAAAGAAUGCGAACCAUGUACAGAUUUCCAUACAUGUGAAUAGUUCACGGCCGCGACGCGUUUAGGAUUCUCAGAACCCAGGCGCACAGCCGAACACGAGAGCGCAGGCACACGAGAUCAC
This 282-nucleotide long non-coding RNA is filed under the name Zea mays. Its description in RNAcentral is "long non-coding RNA (ZMAY_LNC001917)". The record is from RNAcentral. Lineage: Eukaryota; Viridiplantae; Streptophyta; Magnoliopsida; Poales; Poaceae.